GCCUGAUGCAGCAACGCCGCGUGAGGGAUGACGGCCUUCGGGUUGUAAACCUCUUUUAGUAGGGAAGAAGGGCUUCGGCUUGACGGUACCUGCAGAAAAAGCACCGGCUAACUACGUGCCAGCAGCCGCGGUAAUACGUAGGGUGCGAGCGUUGUCCGGAAUUAUUGGGCGUAAAGAGCUCGUAGGCGGUUUGUCACGUCUGCUGUGAAAUCCCGAGGCUCAACCUCGGGCCUGCAGUGGGUACGGGCAGACUGGAGUGCGGUAGGGGAGAAUGGAAUUCCUGGUGUAGCGGUGGAAUGCGCAGAUAUCAGGAGGAACACCGAUGGCGAAGGCAGUUCUCUGGGCCGUAACUGACGCUGAGGAGCGAAAGCGUGGGGAGCGAACAGGAUUAGAUACCCUGGUAGUCCACGCCGUAAACGUUGGGCGCUAGAUGUGGGGACCUUUCCACGGUUUCCGUGUCGUAGCUAACGCAUUAAGCGCCCCGCCUGGGGAGUACGGCCGCAAGGCUAAAACUCAAAGGAAUUGACGGGGGCCCGCACAAGCGGCGGAGCAUGCGGAUUAAUUCGAUGCAACGCGAAGAACCUUACCAAGGCUUGACAUAACCGAGAACGCCGCAGAAAUGUGGAACUCUUUG
Molecule: ribosomal RNA, 634 nt
Filed under: Agromyces sp. So1Pw_970
Lineage: Bacteria; Bacillati; Actinomycetota; Actinomycetes; Micrococcales; Microbacteriaceae
Description: bacterial SSU rRNA
Rfam family: Bacterial small subunit ribosomal RNA
Source: RNAcentral